AGUUCUGUAGCUCAGUGGUUAGAGCAUUCGUUUCCCAAGUGAGAGGACCUGGGUUUGAUUCCCAGCAGGGUGA
RNAcentral lists this transfer RNA (73 nucleotides) under Callorhinchus milii (elephant shark). Its description in RNAcentral is "tRNA-Gly (CCC) (tRNA-Gly-CCC-29-1)". It matches the Rfam family "tRNA". Rfam says of the family: Transfer RNA (tRNA) molecules are approximately 80 nucleotides in length. Their secondary structure includes four short double-helical elements and three loops (D, anti-codon, and T loops). Lineage: Eukaryota; Metazoa; Chordata; Chondrichthyes; Chimaeriformes; Callorhinchidae. The record is from Rfam by way of RNAcentral.